UACUCGAGUGGCGAACGGGUGAGUAACACGUGGGUGAUCUGCCCUGCACUUCGGGAUAAGCCUGGGAAACUGGGUCUAAUACCGGAUAGGACCACAUUUUGGAUGGUGUGGUGGAAAGUUUUUCGGUGUAGGAUGAGCUCGCGGCCUAUCAGCUUGUUGGUGGGGUAAUGGCCUACCAAGGCGUCGACGGGUAGCCGGCCUGAGAGGGUGUACGGUCACAUUGGGACUGAGAUACGGCCCAG
RNAcentral lists this ribosomal RNA (242 nucleotides) under uncultured Actinomycetales bacterium. RNAcentral's name for it is "partial 16S ribosomal RNA". It matches the Rfam family "Bacterial small subunit ribosomal RNA", at positions 88 to 334 of the family's 1533-position model. The record is from RNAcentral. Lineage: Bacteria; Bacillati; Actinomycetota; Actinomycetes; Actinomycetales.